UAUGAACCAGGACAACUUUCUGCCUAAAUCAAAAUCCACAACUACACACAGAAACCAGCCAUUUGCAGCAUCUUCAGCUCCUGCUAAAUAGGGUCUAACAAUAUAUUUCGCUGUUCACAUUCAUGUAUUUCAAAACCUAAUAGCCCAUGAAGAAAAGUAUGAAGAAUACAUCUCAACAAGCAGACAUUAAAGGUACCAGCAAAAUAAUAGACUACAUUUACGUAUGAAGCAUUAUUUUAGGCAACCUACAUCAUUAAUGACUUUUUCUUUGUGGUAAGUGUUAGAAAAGAGAAUGCAUAAGAGGAAUUGACAUAAAUAUUGGCUGCUACUAGAAAAAUUCCUUUCUGGUGAGUGUGAUUAUUCACACACACAGUACUCCUCAAAUGGCUUUGUGGUUUUUUAAAAAAAAUUAUUUGACCUUCAAUGUCUAAAAUUUUUUUUUACACUAUGAAGUAGUUGUGAAGUAAAUAUUUAUCCCUAAAAUUUAUAUUUAAAAUAUCCUAUUUAACUCAUAUAUCACAGUAUGAUAUUUCAUUAUUAUACUU
RNAcentral lists this long non-coding RNA (545 nucleotides) under Bos taurus (domestic cattle). RNAcentral's name for it is "long non-coding RNA NONBTAT001342". Lineage: Eukaryota; Metazoa; Chordata; Mammalia; Artiodactyla; Bovidae. The record is from RNAcentral.